CGAAAUUUUUUGAGCUGACUUCGGGUGAGCGGCGGACGGGUGAGUAACGCGUGGGAAUAUGCCCUUUGGUACGGAAUAGUCCUGGGAAACUGGGGGUAAUACCGUAUGCGCCCUUCGGGGGAAAGAUUUAUCGCCAAAGGAUUAGCCCGCGUUGGAUUAGGUAGUUGGUGGGGUAAUGGCCUACCAAGCCGACGAUCCAUAGCUGGUUUGAGAGGAUGAUCAGCCACACUGGGACUGAGACACGGCCCAGACUCCUACGGGAGGCAGCAGUGGGGAAUCUUAGACAAUGGGGGCAACCCUGAUCUAGCCAUGCCGCGUGAGUGAUGAAGGCCCUAGGGUUGUAAAGCUCUUUCAGCUGGGAAGAUAAUGACGGUACCAGCAGAAGAAGCCCCGGCUAACUCCGUGCCAGCAGCCGCGGUAAUACGGAGGGGGCUAGCGUUGUUCGGAAUUACUGGGCGUAAAGCGCACGUAGGCGGACCGGAAAGUUGGGGGUGAAAUCCCGGGGCUCAACCCCGG
This 516-nucleotide ribosomal RNA is filed under the name Paracoccus sp. (in: a-proteobacteria). Its description in RNAcentral is "bacterial SSU rRNA". It matches the Rfam family "Bacterial small subunit ribosomal RNA", at positions 72 to 618 of the family's 1533-position model. The record is from RNAcentral. Lineage: Bacteria; Pseudomonadati; Pseudomonadota; Alphaproteobacteria; Rhodobacterales; Paracoccaceae.